RNAcentral lists this ribosomal RNA (274 nucleotides) under uncultured bacterium. Its description in RNAcentral is "partial 16S ribosomal RNA". It matches the Rfam family "Bacterial small subunit ribosomal RNA", at positions 523 to 796 of the family's 1533-position model. The record is from RNAcentral.
AUACGGAGGGUGCAAGCGUUACUCGGAAUCACUGGGCGUAAAGCGCGCGCAGGCGGCUUGAUAAGUUGGAUGUGAAAGCCUACGGCUCAACCGUAGAACUGCAUCCAAAACUGUCAGGCUAGAGUCUGGGAGGGGAAGAUGGAAUUAGUUGUGUAGGGGUAAAAUCCGUAGAGAUAACUAGGAAUACCAAAAGCGAAGGCGAUCUUCUGGAACAGUACUGACGCUGAGGCGUGAAAGCGUGGGGAGCAAACAGGAUUAGAAACCCCGGUAGUCC